This 902-nucleotide long non-coding RNA is filed under the name Parus major (Great Tit). RNAcentral describes it as "lncRNA (ENSPMJG00000002173.1)". Lineage: Eukaryota; Metazoa; Chordata; Aves; Passeriformes; Paridae. The record is from RNAcentral.
AUCUGAAGUCUGGUGAGUGGCAAGAAGAGAAUAAGCCAGUGGAUUUAGCUCUCAGCUCAGUGGCCAAUCACUGCAGCGAUAUGAGUGAGGUGAGUGAGCUGUGACUUAGAUCAGCCCUCUCCUCCUGUAUCAAUACACAGAAGUUAUGCAUGUUGCACCUCCUUCCCUGACUGCCUUGCAGUUUUGUAAAGCUUUGGUUUUGUGGAGAACCCAAAGGCAGGCAUCAAUACUUGGUAGGCAUAAAGCUAUGGGAGUUGCUGUAGUCAUGGAGAGAAAUGGGAGAUGGCAGGAGAGACACUUUAACAGACCAGAGGAUUCAAGACCUAAUUGAUUAACUCGCUCCAAGGAAGCAUCAGUGGCUGAUGUGUGGAGGGGAAGACUGUGGGGGCAUACAGAAGAGGCCAAAGCUGCUUGGAUGGAAUUAUGUGAAAAGAUUGCAGUCCUCUGGCUGUUCCUUGAGCAACAGGAUCGAAUACCUUCUCUUGCAGGGCUGCAUGCAACAGGAAAUAAAGUCAGACACGAUAUAUUUUAUACCAGCUGUGAAAGAAUGAAGAUCUUCUGCCUUCAGCCUUGGGAAGAAUUUUAGCAACUGCAUAUUAAUGAAGCCGUAGAACAUAAUCACGGGCUUAGUCUUCUGCCAAACGUGGUGAAUUGGUGAAUUGAGGCCUUAGUGGCCUCUCUGACCUUCAGAUGGAAUAAUCUGGUCAGCCAUAAUCAAAUCACAAACUCUUGAUAAUUUCAACCCCCUUUUAGACACUUCUCUUGUUUCAAUUAACAAUCCAUUACAACUGAAAGGCAAGGCAGAGGAAAUCACGUGUCUAGCUUCUUCCUGGGUCUGGGAAACUAGUUGCUGAAUGUGUCACUUUAAUAAAACCCAUGGGAAACUUGGAAGGCUUGGAUUU